CAGCAGCCGGCGCUCGGCGCCUGUAGGGCGCGGGGAGCGAGCGCCACCGCUGGCCGUGGAGUGCGUGCGCGCAUGCGCGACGUGCCCCCGUUCGCUGGCGGCUGGGGCGUGCGGCGAGCUCCCCUCACGGACCAGGGCCGGAGCGGGCCGAGGCGGGAUCCCUGUGCGGGACAGCGCCCUCGCCGCUGCUUUGGCUCCCGGGCAGUCAGGGACGAUCCACGUUAGGCCCCUCCCUCAGCCGAGCGUGCUAACCAGUCGUGUCGAUGGAACUUUACGGUUUUAACCGCGGGGCCCACGAGCGGCCGGUAGCCAUGAUCCCUCCAGUGACCCGGGGAUAACGAGUAUGAAAGCCUGAUGCGGUAUGAGCGCCAGGCCUGUGACAAAAUGGCCACCGCAGGUGGUGCUCUGUGCGCCUCAGCCGGUGGCGGUGGGCUGCCCUGGCGACAUGGCGGUUCCCAUCCUGAGCGUCGUGCAGGAGUGAACUUACACAGCUCAUUUUGAUACAGAUCCAAACUGGUAGCAAGUGACUUUGCUGUUUCUCAUUCGUCCCAAAUAAAUAAGUAUAUUGUCAUUUGUAUCCCGUGGAAGCCUGUAUCAGAAUCCUGAACCUGCUUUUGGUAACUGCUGGGCUAGUGCUGCUGACUUCUGUCUCAGUGAAGUGCAGGGUCCCCCAGCCUGCUGCUCUGCCAGAACUGUGCCUACCAAAGCAGAAUGAUAGGGAAGAUUGCUGUAGUUCAGGUGGAGCGUGUGUUCACAAUACACUGUGAAACAAAGCUUUUGGAAGCAAUAACAAGAGAAGGUUAAUUUUUCUGCUAUUACAGAAUUGGAAUAAUUUAUUUGUGCUGACUGGAUCUACAAAUAGCAAUGCCUGGAGAUCCAGUGAUGUCUGAAGAGUAUAUGACAAAGCUGGCAGGUGGUAUAGCAUAAGAUUUGCAUAAAGCUAAUUUCUCCAUUUCUGCUGUCUUCAUCUGCUGUCAUUCAGUCUGAUCCUCACGAACUACUGAGUGGUUCUCUUCAAACUAAAAGCAGAAAAAAAUGUGACAGCCUGAGAAUGAGCAUGGAGGAAAGAAGACAGUCUGGGGAACAAAGGGAAGAGAAGGAAGAUUCACCUUUCAGUGAGUACAAGCUCUUAAAAACUUACUCAGAUGUGAUGUGUAAUUUCAUGUCAAAAUUAAAAUAGCCUAGGUUAAAAGCAUAUACGCAAUUAGAAUGUUUGGUGGUGACAUGGUAAAGCAGCCUCAUGAAGAGCUUUCUCAAGGCAGAACAUCUCUAUUAAGAACAUGCUAUUAAGAAAUUUGACAGCCUAGGCACCCUGGACUGAGGUUUUUGACUCAGACCGUACUCCUCUUUUGAUCUAUGAUUUUAAAACACAUCACAUAGGGCAGAGUUGUCUUGCAGUAUUUUUAUAUGACAUGGGAUAUCUGUCCUUUUACAAAUGUACAGGGCAAAAUUCUAGAGUUAUUGACCAACAUGACAUUUCCAGUGUUUGUAUAGACCAUUAAACUCAAGAAACAAUUGGUUUAGUUAUUAUUUAAAAUCCUCUACUCAAAUUUAACCAAGUUUUUUUUAGCUACACCUUCCAACUUUCAACUCCUUAAAGACUUAUCUUUCUUGUAUGUGUCCAAAGAGGUAUCUGAUUUCUCGCUCUCAUCCAAAUUGCUUUGAAUUCAAUGGCAGACUUCCAUCAGCCAAAUUUGAGUCAGAUUCACAGUGGUAUCUUAUCUGUUGAUAUUUCAUCUGAUUUACUACAAUACCCCUUCAGUCUCCAACUUUGCUUUUCCUAUUAUGUAAUAGGACUUCCUAAAUUAUGCCGUAUUAUUAGCGAAUUCCUUGUAUGCGUGUGGUUUCUUAGCUAUGGUAAACUUCCAUUUACUUUACAUAUAUCCUUACCUAUACAGGGCUUGGGGGAACCCCCUUUCUCUCUGACACAGGGAAAAAACUGAGUUUCAGAGAAAAAAAAUAGAAAAUACAUAGGAAAAAGAUGCAGAAAGCCUCUCCCUAUUUUCUUCAAAAGUUCUAUGCUUAUAUAUAAAAAAAGAGGUUGAGCACAUGAAGUAGAUCUUAGUAGUGAAGUCAACAGGUGGUUUUCAUUGCUUAUUUAUAGCCUGAAAUUACACUUCCUGUUGAGCAGUAUUAUGUAAAACGACUUCAAAAUAUGGUUUAUUGCUCAAUACUGGUUUGCAGCUUGAAGCCACAAGAAGGCUGAGAACAGUCCCACUCCCACUGAAAAACAAAAAUUUACAGUGUGUGUUCAAAUCACAACAUUCUCUUCAUAGGCAGAACAAGACAGCCUUCAGCAUCUUCCAGCCUUUUGACUGGCUGGAAGUGUAAUGGGAAAAUGUUAGUCCACAACUGAACUUUAUGAAAUCCAA
Long non-coding RNA from Motacilla alba alba, 2372 nucleotides. RefSeq lists it as uncharacterized. The record is from RefSeq and is a predicted model, not a curated record. The transcript is spliced from 4 exons. Lineage: Eukaryota; Metazoa; Chordata; Aves; Passeriformes; Motacillidae.